ACGGGUGAGUAACACGUGGGAAUAUGCCCUUUAGUACGGAAUAACCAAGGGAAACUUUGGCUAAUACCGUAUACGCCUUCGGGGGAAAGAUUUAUCGCUAAAGGAUUAGCCCGCGUCUGAUUAGGUAGUUGGUGAGGUAAUGGCUCACCAAGCCGACGAUCAGUAGCUGGUCUGAGAGGAUGAUCAGCCACACUGGGACUGAGACACGGUCCAGACUCCUACGGGAGGCAGCAGUGGGGAAUAUUGGACAAUGGGCGAAAGCCUGAUCCAGCCAUGCCGCGUGUGUGAAGAAGGCCUUCGGGUUGUAAAGCACUUUAAGCGGGGAGGAAGGGCUUACGGUUAAUACCUGUGAGCAUUGACGUUACCCGCAGAAUAAGCACCGGCUAACUCUGUG
RNAcentral lists this ribosomal RNA (394 nucleotides) under uncultured bacterium. Its description in RNAcentral is "bacterial SSU rRNA". It matches the Rfam family "Bacterial small subunit ribosomal RNA", at positions 102 to 507 of the family's 1533-position model. The record is from RNAcentral.